GUGCUCGCUUCGACAGCACAUAUACUAAAAUUGGAACAAUACAGAGAAGCUUAAUACAUGGCCCCUGCAAAAAGAUGACAUGCAAAUUUGUGAUACAUAUAUUU
Small nuclear RNA from Sorex araneus (European shrew), 104 nucleotides. NCBI's taxonomy places the organism in Eukaryota, Metazoa, Chordata, Mammalia, Eulipotyphla, Soricidae. The record is from Ensembl.